AUUGAACGCUGGCGGCAGGCCUAACACAUGCAAGUCGAACGGUGACAGGAAGCAGCUUGCUGCUUUGCUGAAGAGAGGCGGACGGGUGAGCAAAGUCUGGGAUAACGCGUGAUGGAGGGGGAUCACUACAGGAAACGGUAGCUAAUACCGCAUAACGUCGCAAGACCACAGAGGGGGGAAGUAGGGCGAUUUGACCAAGGCUGUGCCCAGAUGGGAUUGGCUAGUAGGUGGGGUAACGGCUCACGAAGGCGACGAUCCCUAGCGGGUCUGAGAGUAUGACCAGCCACACUGGAACUGAGACACGGUCCAGACUCCUACGGGAGGCAGCAGUGGGGAAUAUUGCACAAUGGGCGCAAGCCUGAUGCAGCCAUGCCGCGUGUAUGAAGAAGGCCUUCGGGUUGUAAAGUACUUUCAGCAGGGAGGAAGGGAGUAAAGUUAAUACCUUUGCUCAUUGACGUUACCCUCAGAAGAAGCACCGGCUAACUACGUG
Molecule: ribosomal RNA, 490 nt
Filed under: uncultured bacterium
Lineage: Bacteria
Description: partial 16S ribosomal RNA
Rfam family: Bacterial small subunit ribosomal RNA
Source: RNAcentral